Molecule: transfer RNA, 95 nt
Filed under: Desulfurobacterium indicum
Lineage: Bacteria; Pseudomonadati; Aquificota; Aquificia; Desulfurobacteriales; Desulfurobacteriaceae
Description: tRNA-Sec
Rfam family: Selenocysteine transfer RNA
Source: RNAcentral
GGAGGCAGAUGGAGGCUGGUGUCUCCCCCGGACUUCAAAUCCGGUGGUCUCGCGUAGAGCGGGACGGUAGGUUCGAUUCCUAUCUGCCUCCGCCA